UACGAAGGUCUCAAGCGUUGUUCGGAUUUACUGGGCGUAAAGAGCUCGUAGGCGGUUUGUCACGUCUGCUGUGAAAUUUCGAGGCUCAACCUCGAACUUGCAGUGGGUACGGGCAGGCUAGAGUGCUGUAGGGGAGAUGGGAAUUCCUGGUGUAGCGGUGGAAUGCGCAGAUAUCAGGAGGAACACCAAUGGCGAAGGCACAUCUCUGGGCCGUAACUGACGCUGAGGAGCGAAAGCAUGGGGAGCAAACAGG
This 253-nucleotide ribosomal RNA is filed under the name uncultured bacterium. RNAcentral describes it as "partial 16S ribosomal RNA". It matches the Rfam family "Bacterial small subunit ribosomal RNA", at positions 524 to 776 of the family's 1533-position model. The record is from RNAcentral.